Long non-coding RNA from Chelonoidis abingdonii (Abingdon island giant tortoise), 402 nucleotides. RefSeq lists it as uncharacterized. The record is from RefSeq and is a predicted model, not a curated record. NCBI's taxonomy places the organism in Eukaryota, Metazoa, Chordata, Testudines, Testudinidae.
AGUGGGGGGCUUGGAUGGGGAUAGCCAGUCUCUGAAGUUUGGGGGGCAUGUAGGGGGCCCACAUUCUCCUGGCCCUGCUCCCCAAGCCCGGGGCAGGGGCUCCAUCUCACUGGGUUUGUUGUCCCCCCCACAGGAGAAGCUGCUGUGUCAGGAGUUGGGGGCCUCAGGGUCAAGGGGGCGACUCCCCCCUAGGCUGCGGCUGGCCGGGCUGCUCUUCUGGGGCCUGGCCAAGGGCCUGUUCCUGGCCCUGCUGGGCACCCUGGUGCUGUGCCCCGUCCGCGUCCUGCUGUCGCGCCAGCCACACCCUCCGCCUGCCGGGCCCCAGCUCUGCGACUGCCUGUGCCCCAAGGAGACGCUGCCCCCCUGAGCCACGCGGGGCUAAUAAACAAAUAACCACAGGGA